AACGAACGCUGGCGGCAUGCCUAACACAUGCAAGACGAACGAGAUCUUCGGGUCUAGUGGCGCACGGGUGCGUAACGCGUGGGAAUCUGCCCUUUGGUUCGGAAUAACAGUUGGAAACGACUGCUAAUACCGGAUGAUGACGAAAGUCCAAAGAUUUAUCGCCAGAGGAUGAGCCCGCGUAGGAUUAGCUAGUUGGUGUGGUAAAGGCGCACCAAGGCGACGAUCCUUAGCUGGUCUGAGAGGAUGAUCAGCCACACUGGGACUGAGACACGGCCCAGACUCCUACGGGAGGCAGCAGUGGGGAAUAUUGGACAAUGGGCGAGAGCCUGAUCCAGCAAUGCCGCGUGAGUGAUGAAGGCCUUAGGGUUGUAAAGCUCUUUUACCCGGGAUGAUAGUGACAGUACCGGGAGAAUAAGCUCCGGCUAACUCCGUGCCAGCCGCCGCCGUAA
RNAcentral lists this ribosomal RNA (449 nucleotides) under uncultured bacterium. RNAcentral's name for it is "partial 16S ribosomal RNA". It matches the Rfam family "Bacterial small subunit ribosomal RNA", at positions 29 to 523 of the family's 1533-position model. The record is from RNAcentral.